GGUGUUGUAGCUCAGUGGUAAAGCACUUGUCUUGCAUGUGUGAGGCACUAGGUUAGAUCCUCAGCACCA
This 69-nucleotide transfer RNA is filed under the name Urocitellus parryii (Arctic ground squirrel). Its description in RNAcentral is "Spermophilus parryii (Arctic ground squirrel) tRNA". It matches the Rfam family "tRNA". From Rfam's summary of the family: Transfer RNA (tRNA) molecules are approximately 80 nucleotides in length. Their secondary structure includes four short double-helical elements and three loops (D, anti-codon, and T loops). Lineage: Eukaryota; Metazoa; Chordata; Mammalia; Rodentia; Sciuridae. RNAcentral also lists the same sequence under 1 other name. The record is from Rfam by way of RNAcentral.